GACGAACGCUGGCGGCGUGCCUAAUACAUGCAAGUCGAACGAGAGCGACCGGUGCUUGCACUGGUCAAUCUAGUGGCGAACGGGUGAGUAACACGUGGGUAACCUGCCCAUCAGAGGGGGAUAACAUCCGGAAACGGAUGCUAAAACCGCAUAGGUCUUCGAGCCGCAUGGCUUGAAGAGGAAAAGAGGCGCAAGCUUCUGCUGAUGGAUGGACCCGCGGUGCAUUAGCUAGUUGGUGAGGUAACGGCUCACCAAGGCCGUGAUGCAUAGCCGACCUGAGAGGGUGAUCGGCCACAUUGGGACUGAGGCACGGCCCAAACUCCUACGGGAGGCAGCAGUAGGGAAUCUUCCGCAAUGGACGCAAGUCUGAUGGAGCAACGCCGCGUGAGUGAAGAAGGUUUUCGGAUCGUAAAACUCUGUUGUUAGAGAAGAACAAGUGCUAGAGUAACUGUUAGCGCCUUGACGGUAUCUAACCAGAAAGCCACGGCUAACUACGUG
This 498-nucleotide ribosomal RNA is filed under the name uncultured bacterium. Its description in RNAcentral is "partial 16S ribosomal RNA". It matches the Rfam family "Bacterial small subunit ribosomal RNA", at positions 28 to 507 of the family's 1533-position model. The record is from RNAcentral.